UAAGAAAUACCCAAGUUAAUAAACACGAAAA
This 31-nucleotide non-coding RNA is filed under the name Rattus norvegicus (Norway rat). The record is from RNAcentral. Lineage: Eukaryota; Metazoa; Chordata; Mammalia; Rodentia; Muridae.